Non-coding RNA from Mauremys reevesii (Reeves's turtle), 536 nucleotides. Lineage: Eukaryota; Metazoa; Chordata; Testudines; Geoemydidae. The record is from the annotation of a RefSeq genome assembly.
CCAACAGAACUGUUCUCAGCUGCUACUUAAGUGAGUCACUUCCUCUCCCCAAAGGCACUCGGCCCUCCAUCCACGAUCCUAACUUGCAGCCUUCUGUUACUGACAUUCAGGCUCAACUGAAGCUAGUGAGAAUGUUACUGGUGCAGGUGCUUAUUGUGGCUUCAAUUUGGUCAUAUGGAGCUGCACAAGUACAACUGACACAAGAUCAGUUAUCCAUCACAAGGAAACCAACUAAAACAGUAAGAAUUGACUGUAAAGUUUCUGGCAUCAAUAUUAGUGAUGCUUAUAUACACUGGUAUCGACAGAGACCUGGAGAAGCUCCGGAAUGGAUACUCUACUUUAAGACACAAACUGAUAAAUCAAAUUUUGACAAAGAGAAGUUUAGCGUUGACAAAACAACUCAAAAAUCCACCUGUACCCUAACAGUAGACAAACUAACCUACAAUGACACGGCUACUUAUUACUGUGCCUACUGGGAUCGCACAGUUUUAGAAAGCCAUAGAGAAACUGUACAAAAACCUCACUCUGUAUUCUGA